AUUCUGCCCAAGCGGGGAAGGAUGAGAAGCUUCGACCAAGGUUCGACUUGAGCGCCAGCGAGAGAGCGUUGCCGCAGGCAACGACCCGAAG
This 91-nucleotide small RNA is filed under the name Escherichia coli. RNAcentral's name for it is "partial RtT sRNA". It matches the Rfam family "RtT RNA", at positions 1 to 89 of the family's 130-position model. From Rfam's summary of the family: This family represents a bacterial cis-regulatory element known as RtT RNA. The exact function of RtT is unknown although it is thought that it may be involved in changing the cellular response in relation to amino acid starvation. RNAcentral also lists the same sequence under 1 other name. The record is from RNAcentral. Lineage: Bacteria; Pseudomonadati; Pseudomonadota; Gammaproteobacteria; Enterobacterales; Enterobacteriaceae.